GUAGUCUGCAACUCGACUACAUGAAGCUGGAAUCGCUAGUAAUCGCGGAUCAGAAUGCCGCGGUGAAUACGUUCCCGGGUCUUGUACACACCGCCCGUCACACCAUGGGAGGUCGGAAAUGCCCGAAGUCUGUGACCCAACCGCAAGGAGGGAGCAGCCGAAGGCAGGUCGGAUGACUGGGGGUGAAGUCGUAACAAGGUAAC
This 203-nucleotide ribosomal RNA is filed under the name uncultured bacterium. RNAcentral's name for it is "partial 16S ribosomal RNA". It matches the Rfam family "Bacterial small subunit ribosomal RNA", at positions 1300 to 1500 of the family's 1533-position model. The record is from RNAcentral.